GGUUCCGAGGAGCGUUGCAGCGCCCCCAGCAUUGGCGGGGCGUGAGGCUCGGAGUCAUAAGCAACGACGCUCAUCCACU
This 79-nucleotide non-coding RNA is filed under the name Acidovorax delafieldii. RNAcentral describes it as "SAH sequence". It matches the Rfam family "SAH (S-adenosyl-L-homocysteine) riboswitch aptamer". The record is from RNAcentral. Lineage: Bacteria; Pseudomonadati; Pseudomonadota; Betaproteobacteria; Burkholderiales; Comamonadaceae. RNAcentral also lists the same sequence under 1 other name.